RNAcentral lists this ribosomal RNA (465 nucleotides) under uncultured bacterium. Its description in RNAcentral is "partial 16S ribosomal RNA". It matches the Rfam family "Bacterial small subunit ribosomal RNA", at positions 338 to 795 of the family's 1533-position model. The record is from RNAcentral.
CCUACGGGUGGCAGCAGUAGGGAAUCUUCCACAAUGGGCGAAAGCCUGAUGGAGCAACGCCGCGUGGGUGAAGAAGGUCUUCGGAUCGUAAAACCCUGUUGUUAGAGAAGAAAGUGCGUGAGAGUAACUGUUCACGUUUCGACGGUAUCUAACCAGAAAGCCACGGCUAACUACGUGCAAGCAGCCGCGGUAAUACGUAGGUGGCAAGCGUUAUCCGGAUUUAUUGGGCGUAAAGGGAACGCAGGCGGUCUUUUAAGUCUGAUGUGAAAGCCUUCGGCUUAACCGGAGUAGUGCAUUGGAAACUGGGGGACUAGAGUGCAGAAGAGGAGAGUGGAACUCGAUGUGUAGCGGUGAAAUGCUUAGAUAUAUGGAAGAACACCAGUGGCGAAAGCGGCUCUCUGGUCUGUAACUGACGCUGAGGUUCGAAAGCGUGGGUAGCGAACAGGAUUAGAUACCCCAGUAGUC